GCAGCAAUAGCUUAAAUUAAAGCAUUGGUCUUGUAAGCCAAAGAUGAGAAUUUUUACUCUUACUGCU
RNAcentral lists this transfer RNA (67 nucleotides) under Mitrella albuginosa. RNAcentral describes it as "tRNA-Thr". It matches the Rfam family "tRNA". Rfam says of the family: Transfer RNA (tRNA) molecules are approximately 80 nucleotides in length. Their secondary structure includes four short double-helical elements and three loops (D, anti-codon, and T loops). Further hydrogen bonds mediate the characteristic L-shaped molecular structure. tRNAs have two regions of fundamental functional importance: the anti-codon, which is responsible for specific mRNA codon recognition, and the 3' end, to which the tRNAs corresponding amino acid is attached (by aminoacyl-tRNA synthetases). tRNAs cope with the degeneracy of the genetic code in two manners: having more than one tRNA (with a specific anti-codon) for a particular amino acid; and 'wobble' base-pairing, i.e. permitting non-standard base-pairing at the 3rd anti-codon position. Lineage: Eukaryota; Metazoa; Mollusca; Gastropoda; Neogastropoda; Columbellidae. The record is from RNAcentral.